GCCCCAGUGGCACAGUGGUCAGCACUGCUGCCUCACAGCAAAAAUGUUGUGGAUUCGAAUCUAGCCUGGGGCC
Non-coding RNA from Gymnothorax javanicus (giant moray), 73 nucleotides. Lineage: Eukaryota; Metazoa; Chordata; Actinopteri; Anguilliformes; Muraenidae. The record is from the annotation of a GenBank genome assembly.